AUUGAACGCUGGCGGCAUGCCUUACACAUGCAAGUCGAACGGUAACAGGUCUUCGGAUGCUGACGAGUGGCGAACGGGUGAGUAAUACAUCGGAACGUGCCUAGUAGUGGGGGAUAACUACUCGAAAGAGUGGCUAAUACCGCAUGAGAUCUACGGAUGAAAGCAGGGGAUCGCAAGACCUUGUGCUACUAGAGCGGCCGAUGGCAGAUUAGGUAGUUGGUGGGAUAAAAGCUUACCAAGCCGACGAUCUGUAGCUGGUCUGAGAGGACGAUCAGCCGCACUGGGACUGAGACACGGCCCAGACUCCUACGGGAGGCAGCAGUGGGGAAUUUUGGACAAUGGGCGAAAGCCUUAUUCAGCAAUGCCGCGUGCAGGAUGAAGGCCUUCGGGUUGUAAACUGCUUUUGUACGGAACGAAAAGCCCCGGGUUAAUACCCUGGGGUCAUGACGGUACCGUAAGAAUAAGCACCGGCUAACUACGUGCCAGCCGCCGCGGUAA
Molecule: ribosomal RNA, 498 nt
Filed under: uncultured bacterium
Lineage: Bacteria
Description: partial 16S ribosomal RNA
Rfam family: Bacterial small subunit ribosomal RNA
Source: RNAcentral